GGAUGUUGGGCUGAAUUGACUCUGUCAUCUCCCAACUCUUGGUUACCACAAUAAUUCAGUUUACCUGUCUGGGUAGGCCGAUACCCCUUCUUCAUUGCUCCAUAUGCAACUCUCCAAAAAUGGAAGAGAAAGGCCUUCUCCAAGGGAAGAUCUUGGUCAAGGAUAUAUGAGUAGCUGUAUUCUCCUGCUCGAACCUCCAGACAAGUUUUCAGGGUCCAUUGUAGGAGAGUGUAGGGUAGUCAGGGUUCGAAAACUACAUCCAUCCAAGUGAGGUGCUGCAUGUGGUGGUGGUUAGCCUUGUUU
Molecule: small nuclear RNA, 303 nt
Filed under: Neotoma lepida (desert woodrat)
Lineage: Eukaryota; Metazoa; Chordata; Mammalia; Rodentia; Cricetidae
Description: 7SK RNA
Rfam family: 7SK RNA
About the family: 7SK was discovered as an abundant small nuclear RNA in the mid-70s but a possible function has only recently been suggested. Two independent studies have found that 7SK RNA binds the CDK9/cyclin T complex (known as elongation factor P-TEFb). P-TEFb activates transcription by phosphorylating the C-terminal domain of RNA polymerase II.
Source: Rfam by way of RNAcentral